ACGGCGAAGAUAUACUACUUGAAAGAGUUCUCGAUGUCGAUUACAAAGCGGAAUCUCACAUCCCGGUUGAUGAGCCUCUGAAGAGCCUCGUUGACGUAGUCUAUCUUGAUCAUCUCUAUAUCUGGGUAAACAUUGUUUGCAGCACAGAAGUUUAUCAUCUCCUGGAUAUCCUUUGUACCCCCUGUUACACUACCAGCUAAGCUCCGCGCAGCUGCAUUAAGGUUUUCAGGAUGAACUUUGAUUUCACUUGGGAAGCUAAGUAGCACCAUUACACCACCAACUUUCAGAAGCGAGAGAUAAGGAUCGAACUGGUGAUCACCAGAUGCAGUAUCAAUAAUGAACAAAAAAUAUUUUUACAAUGUACCUCCAUCUGAUUUUCAUCUGAUGAUAUCACAAAAUUAUCUGCACCAAGAAGGUUGAUAGCUUCUUCUCUCUUUGAUUCACUUGUACUAAAAACUGUCACUUUGAGUCCAAAGGCUUUCCCAAAUUUUACUGCCAUGUGACCCAACCCACCUAGUCCAAUGACGCCAAGUGACUUCCCUGGUUGGUUCAUGUUAUGUCGUAUCAUUGGAGUAUAUACGGUAAUUCCCGCACAAAGCAGUGGUGCUGCCUUUGACAAAGGGUAGUCAGCAGGUAUUUUAAAGCAAGUACCUUUGAUGCACUAGUAUAUGACUGGAAUAUCCACCCUUUGUUACGGUCCCGUCUGAAUCAACACUGUUGUAAGUGACGACACAUUUCGAGCAGUGGUUCUCCAGAGAGCUAUUGCAGUUCUCGCAGUCCUGACAUGAAUUCACAUAUACGCCAACACCUACAUGGUCGCCCACUUUGAACCCCUUGACGUCUGCACCAACCUCAGUUACAACUCCAGCUAUCUCGUGCCUACUCAAAUUGAAUGGUAUAUCGAAUCGUUGAACAUAUUCCGUGUCCAAAUGACAUCAGCAUAACAUACUCCACAGUGUGUGAUCCUCAAAGAAACAUCUUCACUCUGUACUUCCCUGCGGUUGAAUUUGUACGGGGAGAGGAUUCCGGAAGGAUCUCUCGCUGCCCAAGCAUCACAGUUGCCACUCCCACAUUCAGCAGCCAUG
RNAcentral lists this small RNA (1085 nucleotides) under Oryza sativa Japonica Group (Japanese rice). Its description in RNAcentral is "sRNA Os11g0622700". Lineage: Eukaryota; Viridiplantae; Streptophyta; Magnoliopsida; Poales; Poaceae. The record is from RNAcentral.